GUGGGGAAUAUUGCGCAAUGGUCGAAAGACUGACGCAGCGACGCCGCGUGUGGGAGGAAGCCUUUCGGGGUGUAAACCACUGUCAGAUGGGAAGAACACUACUGGGUCCAAUAGGCCUUGUAGCUGACGGUACCAUCAGAGGAAGCACCGGCUAACUCCGUGCCAGCAGCCGCGGUAAUACGGAGGGUGCAAGCGUUGUUCGGAAUUACUGGGCGUAAAGCGCGGGCAGGUGGUUUGUUAAGUUCCCUGUGAAACUCCGAGGCUCAACCUCGGACAUGCAGGGGAUACUGGCAGACUGGAGACUGGUAGAGGCUGGCGGAAUUCCUGGUGUAGCGGUGGAAUGCGUAGAUAUCAGGAAGAACACCGGUGGCGAAGGCGGCCAGCUGGGCCAGGUCUGACACUCAGCCGCGAAAGCGUGGGGAGCAAACAGG
This 431-nucleotide ribosomal RNA is filed under the name uncultured bacterium. Its description in RNAcentral is "bacterial SSU rRNA". It matches the Rfam family "Bacterial small subunit ribosomal RNA", at positions 354 to 776 of the family's 1533-position model. The record is from RNAcentral.